This 93-nucleotide transfer RNA is filed under the name Eggerthellaceae bacterium. Its description in RNAcentral is "tRNA-Ser". It matches the Rfam family "tRNA". Rfam says of the family: Transfer RNA (tRNA) molecules are approximately 80 nucleotides in length. Their secondary structure includes four short double-helical elements and three loops (D, anti-codon, and T loops). The record is from RNAcentral. Lineage: Bacteria; Bacillati; Actinomycetota; Coriobacteriia; Eggerthellales; Eggerthellaceae.
GGAGGGAUGGCAGAGUGGUCGAAUGCGGCGGUCUCGAAAAUCGUUAUACCGAUAUUCUCGGUAUCUAGGGUUCGAAUCCCUAUCCCUCCGCCA